Molecule: ribosomal RNA, 496 nt
Filed under: uncultured bacterium
Lineage: Bacteria
Description: partial 16S ribosomal RNA
Rfam family: Bacterial small subunit ribosomal RNA
Source: RNAcentral
AUGAACGCUGGCGGCGUGCCUAAUACAUGCAAGUCGAGCGAACAGACGAGGAGCUUGCUCCUCUGACGUUAGCGGCGGACGGGUGAGUAACACGUGGAUAACCUACCUAUAAGACUGGGAUAACUUCGGGAAACCGGAGCUAAUACCGGAUAAUAUAUUGAACCGCAUGGUUCAAUAGUGAAAGACGGUUUUGCUGUCACUUAUAGAUGGAUCCGCGCCGCAUUAGCUAGUUGGUAAGGUAACGGCUUACCAAGGCAACGAUGCGUAGCCGACCUGAGAGGGUGAUCGGCCACACUGGAACUGAGACACGGUCCAGACUCCUACGGGAGGCAGCAGUAGGGAAUCUUCCGCAAUGGGCGAAAGCCUGACGGAGCAACGCCGCGUGAGUGAUGAAGGUCUUCGGAUCGUAAAACUCUGUUAUUAGGGAAGAACAAAUGUGUAAGUAACUAUGCACGUCUUGUCGGUACCUAAUCAGAAAGCCACGGCUAACUACGUG